CCGUAGCCCAAGAGAUCGGGAUAACACCUGGAAACAGAUGCUAAUACCGGAUAACAAUAGAUGAUGCCUAUCAACUGUUUAAAAGAUGGUUCUGCUAUCACUCUUGGAUGGACCUGCGGUGCAUUAGCUAGUUGGUAGGGUAACGGCCUACCAAGGCGAUGAUGCAUAGCCGAGUUGAGAGACUGAUCGGCCACAUUGGGACUGAGACACGGCCCAAACUCCUACGGGAGGCAGCAGNU
RNAcentral lists this ribosomal RNA (239 nucleotides) under uncultured Lactobacillus sp. RNAcentral describes it as "partial 16S ribosomal RNA". It matches the Rfam family "Bacterial small subunit ribosomal RNA", at positions 125 to 354 of the family's 1533-position model. Lineage: Bacteria; Bacillati; Bacillota; Bacilli; Lactobacillales; Lactobacillaceae. The record is from RNAcentral.